Molecule: ribosomal RNA, 959 nt
Filed under: Monanchora arbuscula
Lineage: Eukaryota; Metazoa; Porifera; Demospongiae; Poecilosclerida; Crambeidae
Description: SSU rRNA
Rfam family: Eukaryotic small subunit ribosomal RNA
Source: RNAcentral
AGACUAAGCCAUGCAUGUCUAAGUAUAAACGCUUCUAUACUGUGAAACUGCGAAUGGCUCAUUAAAUCAGUUAUAGUUUAUUUGAUGGUUCCUUGCUACUUGGAUAACCGUAGUAAUUCUAGAGCUAAUACAUGCAGAAAGUCCCGACCUCUGGAAGGGAUGUAUUUAUUAGAUCCAAAACCGGCGCAGGUCCUCCGGGGCCUGGUUGCUUGGUGAUUCAUGAUAACUGCUCGAACCGUAUGGCCUCUCGUGCCGACGGUGCUUCAUUCAAAUUUCUGCCCUAUCAACUUUCGAUGGUACGGUAGUGGCCUACCAUGGUUGCAACGGGUGACGGAGAAUUAGGGUUCGGUUCCGGAGAGGGAGCCUGAGAAACGGCUACCACAUCCAAGGAAGGCAGCAGGCGCGCAAAUUACCCAAUCCCGACUCGGGGAGGUAGUGACAAUAAAUAACAAUGCCGGGCUAUCGUAGUCUGGCAAUUGGAAUGAGUACAAUCUAAAUCCCUUAACGAGGAACAAUUGGAGGGCAAGUCUGGUGCCAGCAGCCGCGGUAAUUCCAGCUCCAAUAGCGUAUAUUAAAGUUGUUGCAGUUAAAAAGCUCGUAGUUGGAUUUCGGGGCGGCCUGGUUGGUCCGUCGCAAGGCGAGUACUGGUCAGCCGCCCUUCCUCUCGAAAGCCCCGACUGCUCUUCACUGCAGUGGUCGGGUAGUUCGGGACGUUUACUUUGAAAAAAUUAGAGUGUUCAAGGCAGGCUUACGCCUGAAUACAUUAGCAUGGAAUAAUGGAAGAGGACCUCGGUCCUAUUUUGUUGGUUUCUGGGGCCGAAGUAAUGAUUAAGAGGGACAGUUGGGGGCAUUCGUAUUUAAUUGUCAGAGGUGAAAUUCUCGGAUUUAUGAAAGACGAACAACUGCGAAAGCAUUUGCCAAGGAUGUUUUCAUUAAUCAAGAACGAAAGUUAGGGGUUC